Molecule: ribosomal RNA, 744 nt
Filed under: uncultured bacterium
Lineage: Bacteria
Description: bacterial SSU rRNA
Rfam family: Bacterial small subunit ribosomal RNA
Source: RNAcentral
GGCGGACGGGUGAGUAAUGCAUAGGUAACGUGCCCCUUAGUCUGGGAUAGCCACUGGAAACGGUGAAUAAUACCGGAUACUCCUUCUCACUUAAUGUGAGUCGGGAAAGUUUUUCGCUAAGGGAUCGGCCUAUGUCCUAUCAGGUAGUUGGUGAGGUAAGAGCUCACCAAGCCUAUGACGGGUAGCGGGUCUGAGAGGAUGAUCCGCCACACUGGUACUGAGACACGGACCAGACUCCUACGGGAGGCAGCAGUGGGGAAUAUUGCACAAUGGACGAAAGUCUGAUGCAGCAACGCCGCGUGGAGGAUGACACAUUUCGGUGCGUAAACUCCUUUUAUAUGAGAAGAUAAUGACGGUAUCAUAUGAAUAAGCACCGGCUAACUCCGUGCCAGCAGCCGCGGUAAUACGGAGGGUGCAAGCGUUAUUCGGAAUCACUGGGCGUAAAGGGUGCGUAGGCGGUUUGGAAAGUCAGAUGUGAAAUCCUACAGCUUAACUGUAGAACUGCAUUUGAAACUUCCAGACUAGAAUACUGAAGGGGCAGAUGGAAUUAGUGGUGUAGGGGUAAAAUCCGUAGAUAUCACUAGGAAUACCGAAAGCGAAAGCGAUCUGCUGGGAAGUUAUUGACGCUGAGGCACGAAAGCGUGGGGAGCAAACGGGAUUAGAUACCCCGGUAGUCCACGCCCUAAACGAUGAAUGCUAGUCGUCGGAAAGCUCGUCUUUUCGGUGAUGCAGUUAACACAUUAA